Molecule: ribosomal RNA, 809 nt
Filed under: uncultured bacterium
Lineage: Bacteria
Description: bacterial SSU rRNA
Rfam family: Bacterial small subunit ribosomal RNA
Source: RNAcentral
GUUUGAUCCUGGCUCAGAACGAACGCUGGCGGCGCGUCUUAAGCAUGCAAGUCGAACGGCAAGGCAGGUGCUUGCACCUGCCCUAGAGUGGCGGACUGGUGAGUAACACGUGGGUGACAUGCCUUUUAGUUGGGGAUAGCUACUAGAAAUAGUAGAUAAUACCGAAUGUGAUCAAUAUUUAUAGAUGAUGUUGAGGAAAGGAGCUAAGGCUUCGCUAAAAGAUUGGCCCGCGGCCCAUUAGCUAGUUGGUAGGGUAAAGGCUUACCAAGGCGAUGAUGGGUAGCCGGCCUGAGAGGGUGAACGGCCACACUGGGACUGAGAUACGGCCCACACUCCUACGGGAGGCAGCAGCUAAGAAUAUUCCGCAAUGGACGAAAGUCUGACGGAGCGACGCCGCGUGGAUGAUGAAGGCCGGAAGGUUGUAAAAUCCUUUUGUCAACGAAGAAUAAGCGGAGGAGGGAAUGCCUUCGUGAUGACGUUAGUUGACGAAUAAGCCCCGGCUAAUUACGUGCCAGCAGCCGCGGUAACACGUAAGGGGCGAGCGUUGUUCGGAAUUAUUGGGCGUAAAGGGCGCGUAGGCGGUUUUGCCAGCCUGAUGUGAAAGCCUGGGGCUUAACCCUGGAAUUGCAUUGGGAACUGCAAGACUUGAAUCAUGGAAGGGAAAUCAGAAUUCCAGGUGUAGGGGUGAAAUCUGUAGAUAUCUGGAAGAAUACCGGUGGCGAAGGCGGAUUUCUGGCCAAUGAUUGACGCUGAGGCGCGAAAGUGCGGGGAGCAAACAGGAUUAGAUACCCUGGUAGUCCGCACUAUAA